GAUGAACGCUGGCGGCGUGCCUAAUACAUGCAAGUCGAGCGAACGGACGAGAAGCUUGCUUCUCUGAUGUUAGCGGCGGACGGGCGAGUAACACGUGGAUAACCUACCUAUAAGACUGGGAUAACUUCGGGAAACCGGAGCUAAUACCGGAUAAUAUUUUGAACCGCAUGGUUCAAAAGUGAAAGACGGUUUUGCUGUCACUUAUAGAUGGAUCCGCGCUGCAUUAGCUAGUUGGUAAGGUAACGGCUUACCAAGGCAACGAUGCGUAGCCGACCUGAGAGGGUGAUCGGCCACACUGGAACUGAGACACGGUCCAGACUCCUACGGGAGGCAGCAGUAGGGAAUCUUCCGCAAUGGGCGAAAGCCUGACGGAGCAACGCCGCGUGAGUGAUGAAGGUCUUCGGAUCGUAAAACUCUGUUAUUAGGGAAGAACAUAUGUGUAAGUAACUGUGCACGUCUUGACGGUACCUAAUCAGAAAGCCACGGCUAACUACGUG
This 497-nucleotide ribosomal RNA is filed under the name uncultured bacterium. RNAcentral describes it as "partial 16S ribosomal RNA". It matches the Rfam family "Bacterial small subunit ribosomal RNA", at positions 28 to 507 of the family's 1533-position model. The record is from RNAcentral.